This 554-nucleotide ribosomal RNA is filed under the name Aureobasidium pullulans. RNAcentral describes it as "partial large subunit ribosomal RNA". It matches the Rfam family "Eukaryotic large subunit ribosomal RNA", at positions 49 to 611 of the family's 3401-position model. Lineage: Eukaryota; Fungi; Ascomycota; Dothideomycetes; Dothideales; Saccotheciaceae. The record is from RNAcentral.
UGCGGAGGAAAAGAAACCAACAGGGAUUGCCCUAGUAACGGCGAGUGAAGCGGCAACAGCUCAAAUUUGAAAGCUAGCCUUCGGGUUCGCAUUGUAAUUUGUAGAGGAUGAUUUGGGGAAGCCGCCUGUCUAAGUUCCUUGGAACAGGACGUCAUAGAGGGUGAGAAUCCCGUAUGUGACAGGAAAUGGCACCCUAUGUAAAUCUCCUUCGACGAGUCGAGUUGUUUGGGAAUGCAGCUCUAAAUGGGAGGUAAAUUUCUUCUAAAGCUAAAUAUUGGCGAGAGACCGAUAGCGCACAAGUAGAGUGAUCGAAAGAUGAAAAGCACUUUGGAAAGAGAGUUAAAAAGCACGUGAAAUUGUUGAAAGGGAAGCGCUUGCAAUCAGACUUGUUUAAACUGUUCGGCCGGUCUUCUGACCGGUUUACUCAGUUUGGACAGGCCAGCAUCAGUUUCGGCGGCCGGAUAAAGGCUCUGGGAAUGUGGCCUCCACUUCGGUGGAGGUGUUAUAGCCCAGGGUGUAAUACGGCCAGCCGGGACUGAGGUCCGCGCUCGGCU